GCCCCGCAGCUAACGGUGUGGAUCACCCUGCUCACUAGCAGCGGUGGGUAGCUACAUUCUCUUCUGGGAGCCCCUCUGCGGCACCACUCUUGGGAGUGGAAAAGGAAAUGGUCAAAGGGUCUCAAACUCCUGGCCUCAAGCGAUCCUCCUGCCUCGGCCUCCCAAAAUGCUGGGAUUACAGGUGUGAACCACUGCACCUGACACCUGCUUCCGGUUAUUAAAGACCUACUAUACAACAGGCUCUAUGUUGGGAUUUUCCAAAACACUGCUUAAUCUUCCCAACAAUCCUUCAAGCCACCCACCAUGUUCUGAAGACUGAGGACCUGCAGGCAACCCUGGGAAGAGGCCCAGAGGUAAGGAACUGGGGCCUCCUAUCAACAGCUCUGUGAAUGAGACAUCUUGGAAGCAGAUCCUCCAGCCCCAGUUAAAGCCUUCAGAUGAUGGCAACCCCAGCCGCCAGCUUGACUACAGCCUCAAGAGAGAUCCUAAGCCAGAAACAUCCCACUAAUCCAGUCCCGGAUUUGUGAUCUACAACAAAUACAUGAGAUAAUAAAAUAUUGUUGUUUUAAA
Molecule: long non-coding RNA, 570 nt
Organism: Lemur catta (Ring-tailed lemur)
Lineage: Eukaryota; Metazoa; Chordata; Mammalia; Primates; Lemuridae
Exons: 3
Source: RefSeq, a predicted model, not a curated record